RNAcentral lists this non-coding RNA (21 nucleotides) under Caenorhabditis elegans. Lineage: Eukaryota; Metazoa; Nematoda; Chromadorea; Rhabditida; Rhabditidae. The record is from RNAcentral.
UCGAUCUAUAGAUGACAUUCA